GCGCGAAGUCAGAGGAAGGCGAGGGCAACGGUAGGUNCAGUAUGCUCCCGAAUGCUAUGGGCUACACGCGCAAUACAAAGGACGGGACAAUGGGCUGCAACUCCGAGAGGAAUGACGCUAUCCCGAAACCCGUUCGUAGUUCGGAUUGAGGGCUGUAACUCGCCCUCAUGAAGCUGGAUUAGGUAGUAAUCGCGUCUCAAAAAGGCGCGGUGAAUAUGCCCCUGCUCCUUGCACACACCGCCCGUCAAACCAUCUUAGUUGUGGGUGGGUGAGGCUGCCCCUCUUUCGAGAUGUGGUAUUCGAGCCUGCCUUCGACAAGGAGGGUUAAGUCGUAACAAGGUA
This 342-nucleotide ribosomal RNA is filed under the name uncultured archaeon. RNAcentral's name for it is "bacterial SSU rRNA". It matches the Rfam family "Archaeal small subunit ribosomal RNA", at positions 1111 to 1445 of the family's 1478-position model. The record is from RNAcentral.